RNAcentral lists this ribosomal RNA (402 nucleotides) under bacterium. RNAcentral's name for it is "partial 16S ribosomal RNA". It matches the Rfam family "Bacterial small subunit ribosomal RNA", at positions 355 to 776 of the family's 1533-position model. The record is from RNAcentral.
UGGGGAAUUUUGCACAAUGGGGGAAACCCUGAUGCAGCGACGCCGCGUGAUUUAGAAGGCUUUCGGGUUGUAAAAAUCUUUUUUACGGGAUGAAAAUGACAGUACCGUAAGAAUAAGGUCCGGCUAAAUACGUGCCAGCAGCCGCGGUAAUACGUAUGGACCGAGCGUUGUCCGGAAUCAUUGGGCGUAAAGGGUACGUAGGCGGCCUAGUAAGUUAGAAGUGAAAUAAUAUAGCUCAACUAUAUAAAGCUUUUAAAACUGCUAGGCUUGAGAGAUGGAAGGGAAAGUGGAAUUCCUAGUGUAGCGGUGAAAUGCGCAGAUAUUAGGAAGAAUACCGGUGGCGAAGGCGACUUUCUGGUCAUCAUCUGACGCUGAGGUACGAAAGCGUGGGUAGCAAACAGG